Oryctolagus cuniculus (rabbit) is the source of this 604-nucleotide long non-coding RNA. RefSeq lists it as uncharacterized. The record is from RefSeq and is a predicted model, not a curated record. Lineage: Eukaryota; Metazoa; Chordata; Mammalia; Lagomorpha; Leporidae.
AUGUGCGGAGGUGAGGGGCCGGGUCUAGGGGAACCACACGCGGCUGUGCCUAGGGCUUCCUUUGUUCUGACGCCGGGAGGUCCGCGCUGCCUCCCAGAGGAGGAACCAGGCGAGAGCGGCUCACGGGGCUCACUGUCUUCGCUGUGUGCGCUAAGCUGGAUGCUCUGGAAAGUACCUGGUCUUACAGAGUUUGAACAAGUGUGUCUCCACUUUCUUGCUUUUGCAAAUAUGGUAUUGUGAGCCUCACCAUGUUUUCACAGAUGGUUAAGGAUUCUCCAGGUCUCCUGCCGACUCCUCUCUACAACAAGAUGCCUCAGGAUUGCAGGAACAGACUGCUCAGCAGAAUGGCUGGGAGCUCUCUGCUACGCCCUGGGAAAGAAGUAGAAGAUGGCCCAAGUCCUCGGGCCCCUGCACCCGCGUGGGAGACCCGAAAAAAGCUCCUGGCUUCGACCGGCACAGCUCUGGCCAUUGCGGCUAUUUGGGGAGUGAACCAUCGGAUGAAAGACCUCUUUCUCAUCUUUACUUAAUGUAUGCUAAACUGAUCUUCUGUAUAUAAAGAGAAUCGAAAAUGAAUCCUGAUGUGAAUGGAAGAGGAGAGGGAGUG